RNAcentral lists this ribosomal RNA (112 nucleotides) under Cyttus australis. Its description in RNAcentral is "partial 16S ribosomal RNA". Lineage: Eukaryota; Metazoa; Chordata; Actinopteri; Zeiformes; Cyttidae. The record is from RNAcentral.
CGAGAAGACCCUGUGGAGCUUAAGACUCAGUGUAGACUAUGAAAAAUACUUUAACCAAAAAGAAAUAGCGCAAAGAUCACUACACAAAUGUCUUUGGUUGGGGCGACCUAGG